Molecule: non-coding RNA, 1611 nt
Organism: Miniopterus natalensis
Lineage: Eukaryota; Metazoa; Chordata; Mammalia; Chiroptera; Miniopteridae
Source: RefSeq, a predicted model, not a curated record
GGGGGUGAUCAGGAAUUCUGAGAUUUGUAAGCGCUGCUUUCUUUAACGGAAAUUGAGCCCUAUUUUGAGGGAAAUUAGUUUUGCAGACUUCGUUUAAAAAAAAAAAAAAAAAAAGCUAAAACUUUUGUUCACCAGCUGCUCAGCUUUUCAGUCUGGGUCUGAGCUGGAACCUGCUGCAAGCGUUUGCCGCGGUUUAGAGAAAGCGAGCGACUGAGAAGUGAAUGGGUAUGAAUUUAACCAGUGUGUUGCAAGGAACCGGCAACUAGCAAAAACACAAACUUUUCAUCUCCAGCAACUGCCACUUUUCCGUGAACCUGCUCAGGACUUGGCUUUUUUUCUCACUCCCUGUGUCAGAUGUUGACAACAUGUCCUGAAGUUUCUGUACAACCUGCCCUGAGUCCGCCAGCCUCUGGGACUGUGGGAAAGAAAAGUCAGAUGGUGGAAAGGGCAGGAGCUUCUCUGAAGGGCACACAAUUAAAACAAAGCCCCCAGGAAUAGUCUUUUUAAUUGAAGAUCCAAGACGUAUAAUGUCAGUAAAAAUUAUGAUGUCCAGAUUUCUAAGAGAAAGCAUCAUAUAAAGAAAAUGUUAUUUGGCAGAGAAAAAAGUGUGAUUCUAAAAGAAAGGAGUGAAAAAGGGGGUCCUGACAUAUUCCAGAACUAAAUAUGACUUUUUUCUCUGAAUUUUCAAAUAUAUAUAAACUAUUCCAUUAAGUUGUUUUCAAAAUUUUCAUAUCUUAGAAUAUUUGGAGUAAGAGAAAAUAUCGAUUUUUAUUUUCUAGGCCACAGAGAAUGUUCUGAAAAACAUAAUAACAGGAAAAAUCCCUAGCAUUUCCUACAAUAGCUACUUUAGUGUUCCUAUCAACAAGAUCUGACGUUGAAAGUCGACUUUGUACCUCUUCUCAUAUUGUAAGAAUGGUAAAAGCUGCAAAACUUAUUACAGAUUUUACAUGGCAUUUAGUUUAAACUAUAUGUACCACGGCGAUUAUCUUAUGUACAGUAUUCUUGAAUCUUCCUGAAAAAGUGUUCUGUUAGUACAGCAUGUUAUGCAAGGUUGAUAUCGAGCCCCAUAUUAUAAAUGGAGGUUGAAUAUAUAAAAAAUGUAAGCUCCUCAUCUUUUGUAGGAAAUGUAAUCAAAAUUAUUUUAAGUAUGUGCUCUUUAAAUUUGAUAAAUGUGUAUAUGUAGUAUUAUUUCUGUUUAAAUGAAGUGAUAAUAGUAAAAGCAGAGAGUUCUUAAAUUAAAAUUAUUUUCUUUUAAAGGUACUAGAACUUAAACAAUCUGGAAAUGUUAUGUUUACAUUUUAAGCAUCAUGAUAAUUCCUUCAGUACAUUUGUGAUGUGAGGUUUGAUGGGAAUAAAAAUAUUUAAAAUUAAAUGUGACCAUUAGCUACAGAUACUGUAAACUUCACUUUGCAUUUUACCUGGUAGAUAAAUUUACCUUGGUAACUUAUAGUUAUAUUAUGUGAAUUAAAAUAUGGAAAAUUAAAUUGAAACUGGAAUUAUCUCUGAAGGUUUUGUUGAGGAUGGAAAUAUUUCUGCUAUAUUUCUCUAGGAAAUAACUUAUGUCUAGCGGUUGUUUGUUAAGAAAUAAAGAAUUUUGACAAUAUAUUAAAA